GGCAGCAGUGCCUUACAUGAGCAGACAGAACUCUGUUCUGGAAGGAGGCUAAAACAAGACUCUACCUAGCGUCCAACCAUAUAACAUGAGACAAGAAGGGCAAGGACAGCGGUUUGGCUUCAACCAGGAGGUGAAAGACAAAAGGUGGAGCAUCUUUAUUUAACCCCACAGUCGUAAUUCAGGAUUUGGUUCAUCAUUGUCAUCCCUGCUGUUACCAUCACUGGAUUCCAAACCACCAACACUGCAUUCUGCUGCUUCCAGCUAGCUGGACUCUUUUCUGUAAAAGUGUAUAGUUUUUACUUUUGAAUAGUUUAUCACAAUAUACUUGUUUUACAGUUAUAUUUAAAUAAGUAUGAGCCUACAUUUGAGAAUUUUGUUUGUAGUAUACAGUCCUGUAUAAACAAAGUAUAAUCCAAAUUAUAAUUAAUUACUACUUAAGUUGUACAGUAUACAUCUAUUUAUGUUUAAUAUAUCAUACAGCUUCCUGUCAGAGUUGUUAAAGAAAUAUUUGUAAAAGUAUAUGAAAAGUAUAGUAGUUACAUAUUUUUUGAAACCCACUUGGAAUACUGCAUUUCAAUUAACUUGUACUUUAAUGUGAAAUGAUGUGUUCGCUUUUUGUUCACUCUUUGUUAUUAACAUAUAGUACACUCGUAAUGAAUACAUUAAAUUGCAACUCAAAUACCAGUGUACUGCAUAUUGUAUUACUUUUUAUAAGCAGAGAUACUGUAAAUAUUAUUUGAUUAAAAUCCACUUUAAGUUUA
Long non-coding RNA from Xiphias gladius (swordfish), 761 nucleotides. RefSeq lists it as uncharacterized. The record is from RefSeq and is a predicted model, not a curated record. The transcript is spliced from 2 exons. NCBI's taxonomy places the organism in Eukaryota, Metazoa, Chordata, Actinopteri, Istiophoriformes, Xiphiidae.